RNAcentral lists this ribosomal RNA (542 nucleotides) under [Eubacterium] saphenum. RNAcentral describes it as "bacterial SSU rRNA". It matches the Rfam family "Bacterial small subunit ribosomal RNA", at positions 371 to 935 of the family's 1533-position model. Lineage: Bacteria; Bacillati; Bacillota; Clostridia; Peptostreptococcales; Anaerovoracaceae. The record is from RNAcentral.
AUGGGGGAAACCCUGAUGCAGCAACGCCGCUGAGUAUGAAGGCCUUUGGGUGUGUGAAGCCUCUGUCCUAGGGGAAGAAAAAAAUGACGGUACCCGAGAGAAGCCCCGGCUAACUACGUGCCAGCAGCCGCGGUAAUACGUAGGGGGCAAGCGUUAUCCGGAAUUAUUGGGCGUAAAGAGUGCGUAGGUGGUCUACUAAGCGCGAGGUGAAAGGCAAUGGCUCAACCAUUGUUAGCCUUGUGAACUGGCAGACUUGAGUGCAAGAGAGGAAAGCGGAAUUCCUAGUGUAGCGGUGAAAUGCGCAGAUAUUAGGAGGAACACCGGCGGCGAAGGCGGCUUUCUGGAUUGUAACUGACACUGAGGCACGAAAGCGUGGGUAGCAAACAGGAUUAGAUACCCUGGUAGUCCACGCCGUAAACGAUGAGCACUAGGUGUCGGGACAUGAGUCUCGGUGCCGCAGUUAACGCAAUAAGUGCUCCGCCUGGGGAGUACGCACGCCAGUGUAAAACUCAAAGGAAUUGACGGGGACCGCACAGCAGCGA